RNAcentral lists this unclassified non-coding RNA (392 nucleotides) under soil metagenome. RNAcentral's name for it is "partial contains 5.8S ribosomal RNA, internal transcribed spacer 2, and large subunit ribosomal RNA". The stretch from base 1 to 122 matches the Rfam family "5.8S ribosomal RNA", at positions 35 to 154 of the family's 154-position model. The record is from RNAcentral.
GAUGAAGAACGCAGCGAAAUGCGAUACUUGGUGUGAAUUGCAGAAUCCCGUGAACCAUCGAGUCUUUGAACGCAAGUUGCGCCCGAAGCCAUCAGGUUGAGGGCACGUCUGCCUGGGCGUCACAUAUCGUUGCUCGAUGCCUAUCGCAUUGCGAUAGGACUUAGGGCGAAUGAUGGCUUCCCGUGAGCGUUGUUGCCUCGCGGUUGGUUGAAAAUCGAGUCCUUGGUAGGGUGUGCCAUGAUAGAUGGUGGUCGAGUUAACACGAGACCGAUCAUGUGCAUGCUCCCCAAAAUAUGGCCUCUGUGACCCACACGCGUCUUUUGACGCUCAUGACGAGACCUCAGGUCAGGCGGGGCUACCCGCUGAAUUUAAGCAUAUCAAUAAGCGGAGGA